Molecule: non-coding RNA, 473 nt
Organism: Dipodomys spectabilis (banner-tailed kangaroo rat)
Lineage: Eukaryota; Metazoa; Chordata; Mammalia; Rodentia; Heteromyidae
Source: the annotation of a RefSeq genome assembly
UGAAAACCAGCCCAUCCCUGACCUGAGCUCUGUGAGCUGAUUCCACCAGUGACUGAGCACAGACCACCACCAUGGAGCUGGGGCUGCGCUGGGUUCUCCUUGUUGCUCUGUUGAAAGGUGUGCAGUGUGAGGUGCGGCUGGUGGAGUCUGGGGGAGACUUGGUGCAGCCUGGGGGAUCCCUGAGACUCUCCUGUGCAGCCUCCGGAUUCACCUUCAGUGGUUACUACAUGGACUGGGUCCGCCAGGCUCCAGGGAAGGGGCUGGAGUGGAUUUCAUACAUCUAUGAUAGUAGUAGCACAUACUACGCAGACUCUGUGAAAGGUCGCUUCACCACCUCCAGAGACAACAGCAAGAACACACUUUACCUGCAGAUGAACAGCCUGAGAGUGGAGGACACGGCCGUCUAUUACUGUACUAGACACACCUGGGGGAUUCCCGGAGACUCUCCUGUGCAGCCUCUGGAUUCACAUUGA